Molecule: ribosomal RNA, 367 nt
Filed under: Anaerolineae bacterium
Lineage: Bacteria; Bacillati; Chloroflexota; Anaerolineae
Description: partial 23S ribosomal RNA
Rfam family: Bacterial large subunit ribosomal RNA
Source: RNAcentral
AGCUCCCAAGGGUUGGGCUGUUCGCCCAUUAACGCGGUACCUGAGCUGGGUUCAGACCGUCGUGAGACAGGUCGGUCUCUAUCCGCUGUGGGCGUAGGGGAUUUGAGAGGAGCUGCUCCUAGUACGAGAGGACCGGAGUGGACAGACCUCUGGUGUGUCAGUUGUCGUGCCAACGGCAUCGCUGAGUAGCUAAGUCUGGCAAGGAUAACCGCUGAAAGCAUCUAAGUGGGAAGCCUGCCUCAAGAUUAGAUCCCCCACCUCUUAAUGAGGGUAAGUGCGCUGGAAGACUACCAGCUUGAUAGGCGAGGCGUGUACGCGCAGUAAUGCGUUUAGCGGACUCGUACUAAUGCACGAGGGCUUUCUACGC